Molecule: long non-coding RNA, 789 nt
Organism: Oncorhynchus nerka (sockeye salmon)
Lineage: Eukaryota; Metazoa; Chordata; Actinopteri; Salmoniformes; Salmonidae
Exons: 4
Source: RefSeq, a predicted model, not a curated record
CUUCAAAUGAGAAUUUAACCCUCAGGGAAAACAACCAUUUCUUACUCUAUUCCUUAGCUAAUUGAUGUUAUGGAGAAUCAACAGCAAUAUCAUCUAGAACCUAUCCAGGAAGAGGAGGAGGAGGAUGAGGAGGAAGAGAAAAAAGAGCAGGUGGUGGAUGAUCAGGAGAAAGAAGAGGAAGAGCCUCCACUAAAGGUAUGGAGGCCAAGCUGGCAGUCUCGUUCUCUGGACCAGAGUAGUGAUGCACAGCUGGAGAUCUACAAUCUCUCUCUACCAUAUCCAAAUAUCACCCAGACCACAAGUGACCUUGGGGAGGAGAUUACCCCACCAGGGUUCACACUCCCUAGUGAACGCAGAGCAAAGGCUGAUGGGGAAGUGGAUGGCGUUCAUCUGGAAGUAGAGCGCCAGCUAACCAUCAACAGAACAGUGAAACAAACAUCUCAUACAAGGAGGAGACUCUCCUGGUCAUCGUCAGAUGAAGAGCUACCAACACCACAACGACCACAGAAGAGGAGAUGGAAGGACGAGCUACCACCACCACAGAAGAAGAGGUGGCCUAGGGGACGGAGAAAGGUGCCAACUGCAGAGGAUAUUUUCCCACAAUGGCUGGUGAAUUUGAUGCACAACAUUGAGGAGGCUACAACACAUGAGCUGGUUGUUGAGUAGGCUUGCAACAUGACUAAAGGGCAUCCAAUAAAACAUUGCAAGAUGAUACAUACUGUGUGUCACUAAAGCAUACAAUGCAAGAGAAAUACAUGUAUCUGAUUCAAGAACAUGAAUAAAGGUUAU